Molecule: RNA transcript, 2565 nt
Organism: Ananas comosus (pineapple)
Lineage: Eukaryota; Viridiplantae; Streptophyta; Magnoliopsida; Poales; Bromeliaceae
Gene name: CMP-sialic acid transporter 4-like
Exons: 17
Source: RefSeq, a predicted model, not a curated record
GCAGCCAACACACAGGUGGCAUUGAGAGCUGCGUGCGCAAUACCCGGAGUUGGGUGUAUCUCCAUCUCCCGGAGGAGGUGGGAAAAAGUAGCGUCGCAGCACAAACACUCGCCAAAGCGACGCCGCGGCGAAUCCAAUCCAAUCCUCCUCCCUCUUCUCCAUCCGUCUUCUACUACGCAUAUAUAAAUAAAUAAAUUCGACUCCGAAGCAUAUUCGCUACGGAUAUUUCUCUUUCUCUAUUUCUCUCCUCGCUCCUUCCACUUCCUAUUUUUCUCGAUCGCGAUCUCCAUCUCUAUCUCGAUCUCGAUCUUGAUCUCGAUCUCGAUCUUUUCCCAGAAGCUUCUUUUUGGUUCUGAUCGCUAGGGUUAGGGUUUUGGCCGAUUUGGGCGGUGCAACGAGGAGGCUUUGAUCGAGGGGCUUCUGGAGAGCGGUUGAGUUGGAUUGGGUUUCGAGCGUUUCGCGAUUUAUGGGCUAGAUCUCAAAUUUCGUUUUGUGGUGGGAUUUCGUGCAUAUAUUGGAGGAAUCAGAUAAAGUUUACUUGUUGAGCUGCUGAAGAACACCAUCAUGGAAUGCAACGUCUGUCACUCUAAAUUGCUCAAAACAGUUUCAAAGGCAUACGUGAAUCAUCGAGGCAAUGUAUCAUCUAGGCAGCGCGCUCUUAAUUUUCUCCUAGUCGGCGGUGACUGCAUUUUGGUUGGCCUACAGCCCAUUUUGGUGUAUAUGUCCAAGGUGGAUGGGAAAUUUAAAUUUAGUCCAAUCAGCGUGAACUUCUUGACAGAGGUUGCAAAGGUUCUCUUUGCCAUUGUCAUGCUGUUAUUCCAGGCUAGGAGACAAAAGGUCGGAGAGAAACCUCUUCUCUCGAUUUCCACCCUCAUGCAGGCAGCUCGCAACAAUGUUCUUCUUGCUGUUCCUGCUCUUCUUUAUGCCAUCAACAACUACUUAAAAUUUGUUAUGCAGUUGUACUUCAAUCCAGCAACUGUGAAAAUGCUGAGCAACCUAAAGGUUUUGGUUAUUGCUGUCCUUUUGAAGAUUAUAAUGAAAAGGCGCUUCUCCAUCAUUCAGUGGGAGGCCCUUGCUUUAUUGCUUAUCGGAAUCAGUGUCAAUCAGCUUAAGUCGCUGCCCGAAGGUACCACUGCACUCGGUCUUCCUGUGGCAGCGGGUGCCUACCUAUAUACACUAAUUUUUGUAACAGUUCCCUCAAUGGCUUCAGUUUUUAUUGAGUAUGCUCUGAAAAGCCAAUUUGAGACAAGCAUAUAUCUUCAGAACUUAUUUUUGUAUGGCUAUGGUGCUAUAUUCAAUUUUCUUGCCAUUGUUGGAACUGCUGUCUUCAAAGGGCCUGGUAGCUUUGACAUCCUUGAAGGCCACUCAAAGGCUACAAUGUUUCUUAUAUGCAACAAUGCAGCACAAGGCAUUCUCUCCUCAUUUUUCUUCAAGUAUGCAGACACAAUACUGAAGAAGUAUUCAUCGACAGUUGCUACAAUCUUUACUGGCAUAGCAUCUGCUGCAUUGUUUGGUCAUACUCUAACCAUAAAUUUUGUCUUGGGGAUAUCAAUAGUAUUUAUAUCAAUGCACCAGUUCUUUUCGCCACUUGCUAAAGUCAAAGAAGACACGCCAGAUAGUAAAGUUGAGAUGAUGGGUGCCCAGGAUCUCAGGUCAAAAGAAGCAUCCUUCAUUAAUAUGACAGCUGGUGCUGGUGAAGAUGCUAGCCAUCGUGUGGUACCAGAUGAAAGAAAGCCACUUCUUCCCACCUAAUUUUACUACCAUGGGAGAGCUGCUACAAGAACUAAGCUGAUCAUUUACUAGUAGAGUGUUAAUUUGGAGAAUUAUUUUUUCCACCGCCCAUGAAGUAAGCUUAUUAUAAGUCUUAACUCUUGAAUAUGUAGAUCACAUUGGUCUUAAUAGAACUUCCUCCGCACUUGCUCUUUCUCAUUUUCAGUAUAUCUUGUCUAUAUUUUAUGACAGUAUUCGUAAAGUUCAAUCAUAAUAAUCGAGCUCUGAGUUGUUUGAAUAGUUCUCUUUUUGAAAUCUUCCCAGUUGAUGCUGUUCUCUUUUUGAAAUCUUCCGAGUUGAUGCUGUGAAACCUGCUGUCUUAAUUAAAAGGUUAAUGAAUAUCACCAUCCAAGAUCAACCAAAAAGAAAGUGGAAUUUUGAAAAGAGAUCAUUUGCGGACAUGAUUCAUCGAUAAUGAUGUGGUUCUAAUUAUUAUAGAAAAAAUAGAAGAGAAAUAUAUACAUAGGCAACUUUCUUCCAUAGAUUCAAGGCAUGUAAUCUGUAGCUAUUGACAGUAACGAGAAGGAUGAGAGCUGCUUCUAGAUGGAGCAGCGUGGGAGACAAAAGCUUUACUGAAGUUUGUGAGGGUAUUCAUUCGUGGCGUAUUUUGAUUGUUAUAGCUUUAUUUCUUUUGAGAGCUGAAUCUAUCCUAAAAUUCUGUGACAGAACCUUUUUUUCUGUUCUUUUUCUGGACUUUUUUUUUUUUUUUGGCUCCGUGCUAUGUAAAGAUUGGAUAAGUACAAUUUAUUCAUUCAAAGGAGAUGCAGAAUCCUGAAGUUUACUUGCACUGCAUUU